Molecule: ribosomal RNA, 253 nt
Filed under: uncultured bacterium
Lineage: Bacteria
Description: partial 16S ribosomal RNA
Rfam family: Bacterial small subunit ribosomal RNA
Source: RNAcentral
UACGUAGGGUGCAAGCGUUGUCCGGAAUUAUUGGGCGUAAAGAGCUCGUAGGCGGUCUGUCGCGUCGGCUGUGAAAACUCGAGGCUCAACCUCGAGACGCCGAUGGAAACCAUUUGGCUAGAGUCCGGAAGAGGAGAGUGGAAUUCCUGGUGUAGCGGUGAAAUGCGCAGAUAUCAGGAAGAACACCCGUGGCUAAGGCGGCGCUCUAGUACGGUACUGACGCUGAGACGCGAAAGCGUGGGGAGCGAACAGG